AGCGGCUGGAAGAGCACCGCAC
This 22-nucleotide small nuclear RNA is filed under the name Arabidopsis thaliana (thale cress). RNAcentral's name for it is "snRNA_11063". The record is from RNAcentral. Lineage: Eukaryota; Viridiplantae; Streptophyta; Magnoliopsida; Brassicales; Brassicaceae.